Molecule: transfer RNA, 74 nt
Filed under: Chryseobacterium angstadtii
Lineage: Bacteria; Pseudomonadati; Bacteroidota; Flavobacteriia; Flavobacteriales; Weeksellaceae
Description: tRNA-Sec
Rfam family: tRNA
About the family: Transfer RNA (tRNA) molecules are approximately 80 nucleotides in length. Their secondary structure includes four short double-helical elements and three loops (D, anti-codon, and T loops).
Source: RNAcentral
ACUCUGAUAGUGUAAUGGCAGCAUCUCAGUCUUCAAAACUGAUGGUAUAGGUUCGAGUCCUGUUCGGAGUGCAA